RNAcentral lists this ribosomal RNA (292 nucleotides) under uncultured Acidobacteriota bacterium. RNAcentral describes it as "uncultured Acidobacteria bacterium partial 16S ribosomal RNA". Lineage: Bacteria; Pseudomonadati; Acidobacteriota. The record is from RNAcentral.
GGACUACUAGGGUUUCUAAUCCUGUUUGCUCCCCUAGCUUUCGUGCAUCAGCGUCAGUUAUGGUCCAGUGAGCCGCUUUCGCCACAGGUGUUCCUCCUGAUAUCUACGCAUUUCACCGCUACACCAGGAAUUCCACUCACCUCUCCCAUACUCAAGCCCUGCAGUUUCUCAUGCAGUCUAUGAGUUGAGCCCAUAGAUUUCACAUAAGACUUACAAAACCGCCUACGCACCCUUUACGCCCAAUAAUUCCGAACAACGCUCGCCCCCCUCGUAUUACCGCGGCUGCUGGCAC